UUCUUUCCCUUCUUUCUUUUUCUUUCUGUUUCCUUCUCUUUCUUUUCUUCCUUUUUCCUUCUCGCACCAGCAGCACCUUAUUUUUUUUUCCUACGCAUGCAUGCAUGCUUCUCGCACCAGCAGCACCUUAUUUUCUUCCUACGCAUCCAUGCAUGCAUGCAUGCACCUUUUUAUUUUAUUUUCUUUUCUUUCCCUUGGAACCUGGUGCUGGCCGCAUGCACCGCUUAGCUCCGCAUGUAGGCGUCUCUUUCCUUUUUACUGGUCGAGUGCUUGCUUCUCCUUGGCACACGUGCCUACACCUGGCCCUGCCUGGUCCUUGCAUGCAGUGUUGCCUGGCUCCCACAUGCACAACACUUAUCCUCUAUCGCAGCCAGCACUGCACCUGGCGUCGGGCCCUGUGCGCCUGCCCGCUCAGUCACCUCCG
This 424-nucleotide long non-coding RNA is filed under the name Setaria italica (foxtail millet). RNAcentral describes it as "long non-coding RNA (SITA_LNC006968)". Lineage: Eukaryota; Viridiplantae; Streptophyta; Magnoliopsida; Poales; Poaceae. The record is from RNAcentral.